GGGGAAUUUUGGACAAUGGGCGAAAGCCUGAUCCAGCAAUGCCGCGUGCAGGACGAAGGCCUUCGGGUUGUAAACUGCUUUUGUACGGAACGAAAAGACACUGGCUAAUACCUGGUGUUGAUGACGGUACCGUAAGAAUAAGCACCGGCUAACUACGUGCCAGCAGCCGCGGUAAUACGUAGGGUGCGAGCGUUAAUCGGAAUUACUGGGCGUAAAGCGUGCGCAGGCGGUUUUGUAAGACAGAGGUGAAACCCCCGGGCUCAACCUGGGAACUGCCUUUGUGACUGCAAGGCUAGAGUGCGGCAGAGGGGGAUGGAAUUCCGCGUGUAGCAGUGAAAUGCGUAGAUAUGCGGAGGAACACCGAUGGCGAAGGCAAUCCCCUGGGCCUGCACUGACGCUCAUGCACGAAAGCGUGGGGAGCAAAC
Molecule: ribosomal RNA, 425 nt
Filed under: uncultured bacterium
Lineage: Bacteria
Description: bacterial SSU rRNA
Rfam family: Bacterial small subunit ribosomal RNA
Source: RNAcentral